GGGAAGCGAGCCCUGAGAUGAGUCAUCCCUGACCCCUUGAGGGUCCUAAAGGGCCGUUGGAGACCACAACGUUGAUAGGUGGGGUGUGUAAGCGCAGUGAUGUGUUGAGCUAACCCAUACUAAUUACCCGUGAGGCUUAACCAU
This 144-nucleotide ribosomal RNA is filed under the name Aeromonas salmonicida subsp. salmonicida. RNAcentral describes it as "partial 23S ribosomal RNA". It matches the Rfam family "Bacterial large subunit ribosomal RNA", at positions 2787 to 2925 of the family's 2925-position model. Lineage: Bacteria; Pseudomonadati; Pseudomonadota; Gammaproteobacteria; Aeromonadales; Aeromonadaceae. The record is from RNAcentral.